This 253-nucleotide ribosomal RNA is filed under the name uncultured bacterium. RNAcentral's name for it is "partial 16S ribosomal RNA". It matches the Rfam family "Bacterial small subunit ribosomal RNA", at positions 524 to 776 of the family's 1533-position model. The record is from RNAcentral.
UACGUAGGCAGCGAGCGUUGUUCGGAGUUACUGGGCGUAAAGGGUGUGUAGGCGGUUGUUUAAGUUUGGGGUGAAAUCUCCCGGCUUAACUGGGAGGGUGCGCCGAAGACUGGAAGGCUUGAGUAUGGGAGAGGUAAGCGGAAUUCCUGGUGUAGCGGUGAAAUGCGCAGAUAUCGGGAGGAACACCAAUGGCGAAGGCAGCUUGCUGGGACGGUACUGACGCUGAGGCGCGAAAGCGUGGGGAGCAAACAGG